RNAcentral lists this ribosomal RNA (466 nucleotides) under uncultured bacterium. Its description in RNAcentral is "partial 16S ribosomal RNA". It matches the Rfam family "Bacterial small subunit ribosomal RNA", at positions 28 to 507 of the family's 1533-position model. The record is from RNAcentral.
GACGAACGCUGGCGGCGUGCUUAACACAUGCCAGUCGAACGGAAAGGCCCUGCUUGCAGGGUACUCGAGUGGCGAACGGGUGAGUAACACGUGGGUGAUCUGCCCUGCACUUCGGGAUAAGCUUGGGAAACUGGGUCUAAUACCGGAUAGGAGCCAUCUUUAGUGUGGUGGUUGGAAAGUUUUUUCGGUGUAGGAUGAGCUCGCGGCCUAUCAGCUUGUUGGUGGGGUAAUGGCCUACCAAGGCGGCGACGGGUAGCCGGCCUGAGAGGGUGUACGGCCACAUUGGGACUGAGAUACGGCCCAGACUCCUACGGGAGGCAGCAGUGGGGAAUAUUGCACAAUGGGCGCAAGCCUGAUGCAGCGACGCCGCGUGGGGGAUGAAGGCCUUCGGGUUGUAAACUCCUGUCGCUAGGGACGAAGCUUUUUUGUGACGGUACCUAGAGAAGAAGCACCGGCUAACUACGUG